This is a long non-coding RNA of Apis laboriosa (Himalayan honeybee), 5172 nucleotides long. RefSeq lists it as uncharacterized. Lineage: Eukaryota; Metazoa; Arthropoda; Insecta; Hymenoptera; Apidae. The transcript is spliced from 7 exons. The record is from RefSeq and is a predicted model, not a curated record.
AGCGCACGCACGUGCAACUUACGGUAUUAAAUUCAUCUCUGUAUUUUAUCGAAACGUGAAGAGUAUUGCGUUGGAACAGGAAUGCAGCCUAUUAUAAUAUUUGAUGCAUGUGAAAGAAGAUUAUCAAUUUCUUAUUUGACUAUUUCUUAUCAAGUUAGCUUAUGUUUCGUUACGAUUAUUCGGAGGAAAAAAAAAGAAUACGAGUUUAAUAUUGUAAUCCAUGUGUAUAAGUGAACGUUAUUCAUCACGUGUCAACUUCGUUCUUACCGAUGGAUUGGGUGUCGUAUAUCAACUUGUACCAAUUACCGUCUGCCCGACGGUUAAUUAAGGAUUGGGGCAAUGAGGCCCAGCGAUGCAGUUUCCGUGAUAAUAAUUAUCUGCGAUGGUAAUUGAAUAGAUUGUUACGCCGUCGAGCAAAUCGAGACAUCGAAGAACCUAGAAUAAAAAAGAAUCAAGAAACUUUUGAUGUUUUAUUUAUGAUUACUCAUCUUUUAUCUGUAUGUUUUUGAAAUAUCGGUAAGGUGAAUAAUUCUAGUAGCAAAGUUAGUAAGAAGGGAACGCUUGGUGAGGCGAACCUGCAGGCAAAACGACUGGACGAGAUCAUGUGGAUGUAUGUGAACACGAACAAGUAAUACGUUCAUAGACGAAGAAAAGGUAAGGGUGGCACGCGCGGCCCGCUUCUAUCGCUUCCGGGCAUCAGCGUGCUCGCGAGCCGCAGCUAAUUGCUCUUUAAUGCAAGCGAGCGAACGAGCGCGUUGCUUUUCUUAGAUGCCGAGGGAAACUGACCGUCGUCGUCCUGUACGCUGUAAAAAAGAGAAUACACGAGAUUUAUGUCGGCCCCCGGACUUUUCGUCACGCUUUGUUUAGGAUACGGUUUUAGUUUUGAGAAAACUCUUGGGGCUUCUUCCUUCUUUUUAAUUGCAACGGGUAACUGUGUCUUUGAUAUUGAUCUAGAACUGGAUAGACCACAUAGUCGUUUAAUAAUUAGGGUAUGUGCGUAGAUUAGAAAAUAGAAACUUUCCUGUUUAAAAUGAUCACGAUAUUAAGUAAUUCGAUAACAUUAAAAUUUUUUCUAAGUAUUGUAUAUUAAAUUCUAUUUCAAAUAUUCGUAAAUUUUUCAUAUUUCUUUAGUAGCGAUACAAGUUUACAAUUUUGAUUUCUCUUGUUUUAUAAACUUGAUGGUUCGUUGAAAUGAUAAUUCUUCAUUGUUUCUUUUGUAUAGUUAAUAAAAAAAACAAGAUAAAUAUAGUUUAAAAAAAAAAAGAAAUAUUAAAGUGAUGUUCAUUCAAAAAUUUCUUCAAUAAUGCACAUUAAUUUACGUAGAAUUUCAAAAAUCGAGUAUCGUUAUGUAGUUUACACACGGAAGGAAGAAAAGAAGGCGAAGAGUAAUCAUUCUAAUCAUUCGGUUUACCCGAUUUUUUUUUCAGGUCAGUCUCAGUUGUUUAUUCAGCUCUGGGCCAUUGGUAGUACAUAUAACACUGGCAACAAAAAUGAAGGGUAGAAAGCUCGAUUCGCCGAGGCAUGACCAACAGAGUCCUGCAAAAGCUCAUACAUAUGUAGACGACUCGGUCGGGACAUCAGGAAUCAUGGGGAGGACCCUCCGGAAAAAUGAAUAUGCAGCCCCAUAAAAGUUUGUUCAUUCAUUCAUUCAUAAUGUCGCCAAGGACGAGACUUCUCUGGCUUGUAGAUUGUCAAGGUAGAAGGGACGAGUAGCAACCCUUCAUCGAAGGAGGUGGCGAAGGAAGAAAGAAGAAAGAGGUGAAGCUAGGAGGGGAAGGGAAAGGAAAGAACGAGGCUGAAUGCGGUGACUGUGACGCUUUCCGGUCAGGUGCCGCCCUGACGAUCCUUCUCCUACCAACUUCCACUUGGAUCCACUCAUUCACUUACUUUUACCCUCCUUGAUUUCUUCCUUCUACAACAUCCUAUUCGAUAAAAAAAAUAAAAAAUAGAAUGCACACAGAAAAAAACGGAAAAUUAUUCCUUUUUAAAUCAAGAUCAUGAGACUUGAAGAAAAAACGGAAUAAUAAAUUCGAAGUUUAAGUAAUUGUUAGAUUUUUUGAAUUGAAAAAGAUGAAGAGAAGUAGGAAACAAAUGAAUUUCUCUGGUUAUUACCGUCGUAAUUAUCACGAUGCCUCGGGAGGCCAUUGUCACAAUGAACGUCCGGAGUUUCCCUACGAUUAUCGUACCGAAAAUCUCUUGCUGCCCAACCAACUUCUCGCCAGCUUCCUGCCUGCGACGGACAAUGAUUAUUUGUCGCAACUACACCGUAAAUUCUGUUAUAUAGGAAAGAAAAUGGAAAAUUAGUCGAAGGAAUGAUAACUUUCUAUCCUGGUGAUUGUCACCAUUUGCGAGCUUUAAAAAUCUGCGAAAGCUUGGAAAAAUGUGCUCCAAAAAUCACCUUAUUGAUCUACAAGAGCUUUCACAUGAGUUCAUCAAUCUUCAUCUAAAAAAAGAAAUCAACUUUAUUAAGAAAGAAACUUACAUUUCUUUCUUUUAAUUAUCCACAAAUGAUGAUUUGAAAAACUGCCAAAUCUCAAAGAAACCUGCUCCAAAAAUCACCUGUCUCGUUUGAUCAGAGCCUCGUCCCAGGUGGCCAGACUUGCAUGCGUCUCAUCCACUUCCUAGAGCGUGUAUCCCCACGCAGCGACAGACACGCGUGACGCGUACACUCGCCAGGAUGACUCGUGCUCUCUCGCGGCGUCGGGGGGAGCGCCGAUUUGAACGUGGGUGAGGGGUAGGCGAGGAGGUGAAGGUGGAACACCUUCGGAGAGGGUUUCUGGAAGGAGGAUAUGAUGGCUCGUGGCGUUAUGCUCUGCGAGCUGUUAUGCUCCUCGGGCACCACCGGACCAUAAGCGAGGCUACUUCGCUCCCGUACGCUCGGCGCAACAGCCGCCACGUUUCUUGUUAUAUUAGCGCAUCGGCGUCGCCUGACUAAAGCCGGAGAAUUGCCUUCUAUGCGAAUCUUCUUCGCAUGAACUCCUUCAUUCUUAUGUUUCUUUCCAGUUUUCUAUUGGAAGAAAUUUUGAUUUUGAAGAUGAUUAAAAGGGAAAGAUUAAAAACUUCAUAUGAAAAUUAUAAUUUUAUAAGUUGAUAGUAGUUUGAUAAUAAUAGUAAUGCUAUUGCUAUUAUUACAUACAUUGUAAUAUGUGCAACAGUUUUGAAAAGACUGAAUAUAAUAUAAUAUAAAUUAUUAUGUUUAAUUAAAUUAUAUUAUGUUUUAUAUUAUAAUAUAAUAUAAAACAGAGCAAUAAUCACAUGAAUAAACAAAUAUAUUCUCCAAUUUUCAAGAGAAUUCUAUUUUUCAAAUAAAAAUCUACUAAUUUAAAUAUAAGGAAUUAAAUAAAAAUAGAUAAAAAUCGAUAUUAUAAUACGAUAUUAAUAUAUGACUCUUUAUAGGUACACUGUCCUACAACAACAGAAUAUUUCAACCAGCAAAAUUCAGUGGAGUCAGACGCCAAUGGAUCUAGGCACGAGCCACGAGUCUGCGUCGAAUAUGCCUCGCAGUCUCUGACCCGCAGUUCCUCUCGGGGUACAAUGUUCCGGGGAGGCGGAGGUGGACGAACAGCACGAGGAGGCGGAGGUGGAGGAAGAUGGCGCGAGAGGAGAAGCGGUGGAAGGAGCGUAUUCAGCGUUCAGCAUGCGUAAGGAGCGCUGUGUGGCAUUAUGCAUGGGCCCGUAAGGCUGGCCUGAAACGAGCGAAUAAGAAAGUAGUUAAGGCCUCGACUGGCGGAGGUGGUUGCACGUAUCGGGGCAUUAGUUACUGGAGGAGGAGGAGAGGCCUGCUGCCACGCGCUGCCUGUCUCUCCUCUCUCUUCUGAUGCGCCUCUUCGCUUCUCCUCCACUGUCACUUCCUCUUCCCUCUUCGAUUCAACCAUCUAUACUACUCUUUCUAAUUCUUUUCUUUUUUUUUUUUUUUUUUUACUCUUCUUCGUCGUUGAUAGAAUGCUAGCCUUCCAUUUUCUUUCUGUAUGUUAUACUACUUGACAACGCCAUCUUACUUAAUGUUUUUCUUCUUUCGACACUCUUGUUCUUGCAUUAUCUUUAUCUAUAUUCCAUAUUAUUCAAUAAUCGAUUCUAUAAUUACUUUCUGUUUUACUAGAAAAUAUUCUAUUUUUCAUUGUUUUUAAUCUCUCAGAUUUCUCAGAAGCUUUUCUUAAAUCUUUUUCUCUUUUUUCUUUAAAUCUCUCUUUAUUUUAAUGGUAUUGCGUUACAAUCUUCUGUCACCUUUCAGCCCUCCAUACCAUUCCUUCAUCUAGCUCGAGCGAUUCUCCAUGCUGUAAUGUGUAACAACGACUCGUCACACUCUGCUUGUCGGCGCACACGAUAAUUGCCCUCAUUAUAGUUAUUUAAAAAGCGCUGCCGCCUCCUCCGCGGCGAUCGAGCCGCGAUAUAAGGACACGGCUACCCGUUCGCGCGAGUUAAUCGAGGCUGGAUAAUAAGAAGGAGAAAAGAAAAGAAGAAAAGAAAAGGGAAGAAAAGAGAAUAAAGAAAAAAGAAAAAGAAGAAAAUUGACCAAAUAUGGUCGUGUGCCUUCAUUGUAUUAUCGUAACUCUGUCACGUUACCAUAGGCAGUUUCAGCCUUUUCUUUUUCUUUUCUCCGCCAUCUUCUUUCUGUCCAUCCUCCUAUCCCUCUUUUGCUGUUUUUUUUUUUUUUCAUUAUCCAUCCAGCCAGGCCAUUGUUCCGGUUUGGAGAUUUUAAAACGAAUACAGUUGGCUCUCGGCUGUUGGCCAGCUUAAGAGAACCAGAUAAAGACGUGAUUCUUUUAUUAAUUUGUGCCUCUUUUUUUUUUGCCCGCUCCUCUUUUUCUCAUUACGUUUCCUCUUCUUUUAUUACGCGAUAUAAAACGGGGAUGAAUCAACGGCAACUCCGUAAUAAGAGAUUAAUGGGGUUUAAUUAGGAAGCGGGAUCGCAAUUAUCAUGUGCAAUGAAAGUUUCCCGUAAUUGGGGAAUUAAAUGCACCGCGGUAGAUAAAUUGACGGAGAUUGUGCCGGGGGUUGGGGUCUUUUCGCCGUGGAGCCAGUGCACUCGUUAAAUCGCACGAAUCUUUCCAUCGUGAUCAAUUUGUUUCUCAACAUUGUGGUAUUUAUCAUGCCAUUGUGCUAUAAAAUAAUUUAUUAAUUUUUUAUCUUUUGGAAUUAUCAUUAUUUUUUGUUUCUAAACUCUUCGAAAUU